CCUACGGGUGGCAGCAGUGAGGAAUAUUGGUCAAUGGACGCUAGUCUGAACCAGCCAUGCCGCGUGCAGGAUGACGGCUCUAUGAGUUGUAAACUGCUUUUGUACGGGGGUAAACCCCGAUACGUGUAUCGCUUUGCAUGUAUCGUACGAAUAAGGAUCGGCUAACUCCGUGCCAGCAGCCGCGGUAAUACGGAGGAUCCGAGCGUUAUCCGGAUUUAUUGGGUUUAAAGGGUGCGUAGGCGGGUUGAUAAGUUAGAGGUGAAAGGUCGGGGCUCAACCGCGAAACUGCCGCUAAUACUGUUGGACUAGAGAAUAGUAGCGGUAGGCGGAAUGUAUGGUGUAGCGGUGAAAUGCUUAGAGAUCAUACAGAACACCGAUUGCGAAGGCAGCCUACCAAACUAUAUCUGACGUUGAGGCACGAAAGCGUGGGUAGCAAACAGGAUUAGAUACCCUAGUAGUC
RNAcentral lists this ribosomal RNA (460 nucleotides) under uncultured bacterium. Its description in RNAcentral is "partial 16S ribosomal RNA". It matches the Rfam family "Bacterial small subunit ribosomal RNA", at positions 338 to 795 of the family's 1533-position model. The record is from RNAcentral.